GGCAGAGGUCAAAGGGAUUCCUGGGGCAGCCUCAAGGGAAAGAAUUCUGGCGCGGGGGGCCGGUAUACAGUACUCUAAAUAUGGCAGUGGUUGUGUCUGAAAUUAUCGUGCUUUUCUUUGUUUAAUCUGUUUCUUGUCUCUUCAUCGCCCUUCUAUAUAACGUAAGACUAGAAGCUUUAUUUAGUGAAUUCCCUGUAACCCAGGCUCCUUGGACAAAUAGGACAUACACUCUAGCUGUAGCGUCCUCCCCUCUGAGAUGGAAAUUACAAGCCAUCCCGCAAUGUUGUGAGGAUUGGAGCUCAAGGGUGUAAAAUGCCUCCUCUGGGGGCUCUCCUUGGAGACGUCUUGUAUCCUAUUGAUUGUCAUCGAAGGAAAGAAGUGGCAGGAUGAUGGUGUGAGAAGGAAGAACCUUGAGUUUAAUAGUCUGAAAAAGUGGUUACAGGUUCUUGCUGUGCUUUUUCUCUCUGCGGUUUUCUGAACCCAUCGCCUAACCUGAAGCCUUAAUUCAUCUGCAAAAAUGUUUUGUGGCAGGUGCCUCUGAAGCAGAACUCUUGAGAUGGAAGGGUUGUCAUCUGAGGAAAAAAAAUCGAGAUUAAGAGAGGAGGGACUAGAAUGAGAUUCACUUACCCUCUCUCCUCCAAGGGAAGGAGAGAAUGGUGAUGCCUGCCCAAUCCUUCCUGGGCGGAACCUUUGUAGCAUGGAACAUUGGAGAAUUUGCAGUCUGCUGACUUUCUGAUUUAGGAGGUUGAUGGGGAGGCCUUAUAAUUUGCAUUUCUAACAAGUUCUGAGGUGAUGCUUCAAAUAUGUCCAGGCAGAAGGGCUGCCACACAGAGAUUUCUGCCAUACCACAUGAGAAUUGAAGCCACAGACAUCUCCAGCCCUCAAGCCUGAAACCAAAAGACUGAAAACCAAACACUAUGGUGGACAAAGGACAUCUCAGAACUUCUGUGGGGACCAGUGACACAAGGACCUAAGGUCUAUCUCUUCUCAUCUUGGCACUUCGGGUAGUCUCCCCAGUCUUGACAAAGCCCUGGAGAAAGGGGCGGGCCUCCCGUUGAUAAGAUUGUCACUGCAGAUAAAUGGAGGUUUCAAACUGAAAGAAAGGAGGAGGGCCUCCCGUUUGAUAAGAUUAUUGUCACUGCAGGUAAAUGGAGGCUUCAAAUAGAAAUAGGUUUCAGUUACAGAAAAAAAAAAUUAUCUUUGUUACACAUUUGAGUUUACAGGCCUAAGGUUACUCCCGCUACAUUGUCAUCUGUAACCAUAAGACACUCAACAUUUUAAGGUAACUAUAAGGAUUUUUGCUUCACUCAAAGAUCCUGAGGUUUUAUUCACAUUUUUAUUUGGUGACUAUAGUUGACAAGAACAAAGCUGUGGGGAAUCAACAAACACUGCCAUGCCUGGCAUUGUCACCUCACUAGAUUGUGCAUUCCUCUGGGACAGGGUCCAUACAUUGCCUUCGAAUCCCUCACUUAGUCAUUAGCCUGCACAGUGCUUGUACUUAGUAGGUGCUCAAUAAAUGUUUGUGGAAUGAAUGCAUGAUGAACAAAAUA
RNAcentral lists this long non-coding RNA (1550 nucleotides) under Macaca mulatta (Rhesus monkey). RNAcentral describes it as "lncRNA (ENSMMUG00000062884.1)". Lineage: Eukaryota; Metazoa; Chordata; Mammalia; Primates; Cercopithecidae. The record is from RNAcentral.